Molecule: ribosomal RNA, 460 nt
Filed under: uncultured bacterium
Lineage: Bacteria
Description: partial 16S ribosomal RNA
Rfam family: Bacterial small subunit ribosomal RNA
Source: RNAcentral
CCUACGGGAGGCAGCAGUGAGGAAUAUUGGUCAAUGGACGCAAGUCUGAACCAGCCAUGCCGCGUGCAGGAAGACGGCUCUAUGAGUUGUAAACUGCUUUUGUACGAGGGUAAACGCAGAUACGCGUAUCUGUCUGAAAGUAUCGUACGAAUAAGGAUCGGCCAACUCCGUGCCAGCAGCCGCGGUAAUACGGAGGAUUCAAGCGUUAUCCGGAUUUAUUGGGUUUAAAGGGUGCGUAGGCGGUCGGAUAAGUUAGAGGGGAAAUCCUGAGGCUCAACUUCGGAAUUGCCUCUGAUACUGUUCGGCUAGAGAGUAGUUGCGGUAGGCGGAAUGUGUGGUGUAGCGGUGAAAUGCUUAGAGAUCAUACAGAACACCGAUUGCGAAGGCAGCUUACCGAGCUACUUCUGACGUUGAGGCACGAAAGCGUGGGGAGCAAACAGGAUUAGAUACCCCAGUAGUC